AGGGAUGAAGGCCUCUGGGCUGUAAACCUCUUUUCUCAAGGAAGAAGAUCUGACGGUACUUGAGGAAUAAGCCACGGCUAAUUCCGUGCCAGCAGCCGCGGUAAUACGGGAGUGGCAAGCGUUAUCCGGAAUUAUUGGGCGUAAAGCGUCCGCAGGCAGCCUUUCAAGUCUGCUGUUAAAGUGUGGAGCUUAACUCCAUCAUGGCAGUGGAAACUGUUGGGCUUGAGUGUGGUAGGGGCAGAGGGAAUUCCCGGUGUAGCGGUGAAAUGCGUAGAUAUCGGGAAGAACACCAGUGGCGAAGCGCUCUGCUGGGCCAUAACUGACGCUCAUGGACGAAAGCCAGGGG
RNAcentral lists this ribosomal RNA (346 nucleotides) under uncultured cyanobacterium. RNAcentral's name for it is "SSU rRNA". It matches the Rfam family "Bacterial small subunit ribosomal RNA", at positions 404 to 766 of the family's 1533-position model. The record is from RNAcentral. Lineage: Bacteria; Bacillati; Cyanobacteriota.